This 472-nucleotide ribosomal RNA is filed under the name uncultured organism. RNAcentral's name for it is "partial 16S ribosomal RNA". It matches the Rfam family "Bacterial small subunit ribosomal RNA", at positions 335 to 798 of the family's 1533-position model. The record is from RNAcentral.
ACUCCUACGGGAGGCAGCAGUGGGGAAUAUUGCACAAUGGGCGCAAGCCUGAUGCAGCCAUGCCGCGUGUAUGAAGAAGGCCUUCGGGUUGUAAAGUACUUUCAGCGGGGAGGAAGGCGAUAAGGUUAAUAACCUUGUCGAUUGACGUUACCCGCAGAAGAAGCACCGGCUAACUCCGUGCCAGCAGCCGCGGUAAUACGGAGGGUGCAAGCGUUAAUCGGAAUUACUGGGCGUAAAGCGCACGCAGGCGGUCUGUCAAGUCGGAUGUGAAAUCCCCGGGCUCAACCUGGGAACUGCAUUCGAAACUGGCAGGCUAGAGUCUUGUAGAGGGGGGUAGAAUUCCAGGUGUAGCGGUGAAAUGCGUAGAGAUCUGGAGGAAUACCGGUGGCGAAGGCGGCCCCCUGGACAAAGACUGACGCUCAGGUGCGAAAGCGUGGGGAGCAAACAGGAUUAGAUACCCUUGUAGUCCCAU